AUAUAUUUUAAGGAAUUUGAAUAAAAUCGUUUAAAUCUGUUCUUAUCAGCUUGAUAUCUGAUACGGUCUCCAUCGGAGACCUUCGAUAUUAACCUGAUUUUUGGAACGGGGCGGGAAAGGGGGCUUGCUCCCUCCCCGCCGCGGGUUGCUCUGGCCUGGCACUUAUUGCCAGAGAUAGCCCACCCCCC
Molecule: small nuclear RNA, 188 nt
Filed under: Centruroides sculpturatus (bark scorpion)
Lineage: Eukaryota; Metazoa; Arthropoda; Arachnida; Scorpiones; Buthidae
Description: U2 spliceosomal RNA
Rfam family: U2 spliceosomal RNA
About the family: U2 is a small nuclear RNA (snRNA) component of the spliceosome (involved in pre-mRNA splicing).
Source: RNAcentral